GUGCCUAAAUUUAAUGAGUAAGGAAAACCAUGUUGGUCUUGCUAAUCGCUCGACUGGUGUGCUUCUAAGGCAGUGGGAUGAAGUUCAUCGGUUAUUGCUUUUCUUUUAAGCGAUAUUCGAUCGAUAUGAAGUUCCAUAUGAAGCGUAAAUUUUUGAAAGGGUACAGGUCGUCCCAUUGGACUCAUGAGCUUACUACUCUUUCGAGCUGUAGAGUUCAGGUGCAGCGAUCUGCCCU
RNAcentral lists this small nuclear RNA (235 nucleotides) under Glossina palpalis gambiensis. RNAcentral describes it as "U12 minor spliceosomal RNA". It matches the Rfam family "U12 minor spliceosomal RNA". Rfam says of the family: Although the U12 sequence is very divergent from that of U2, the two are functionally analogous. Lineage: Eukaryota; Metazoa; Arthropoda; Insecta; Diptera; Glossinidae. The record is from RNAcentral.